UCAUGCUGGUACAAAGUUCCUUCAGCUCCUACAAAACUCAGUCAUCCCACAACUUCCAAAAUCUAUGGAUCCCAAGCAGCAGAGAGGGUGCAGCCACAGUGCAUGGAUCAGCUGUGUGUGCAAUGGAGUUAACCUCAUUUCCAGCCCCGCAGGAGGAGAUGAGGACAAACCAACAGCUCUGCUGUGAUGACAGCGACUAGAGAACAUAAAACCUUUCUCCAAAAGCAGUCUCCGUCUCUGAAAGGAAGCCCAGUCCUGCAGGGAGUGCUUCAACCCCUCUGAGGAGUGUGCAGCCUUGGGACAGUCUGUAAAAGGAGCUCACAGAAAGCUUCUCUGUGUCCCAAAAAAUCAUCUUUGGCCAGAGCAGCAUUGUACCUCAUCCUGGCUGAGGGGAGAGGGCUCAGCAAUGAAGAAGAUGCAUAAAAAGUUAAAAAUUCAUCUGGACAUAAUUUUUUUCCAAAUUCGUAACAAAACGUGUUUUGCAUGGAUAUUUGCUUUCACAGCAUUGAAGGACAUUUGUGCCAAAUAAGAUGGGUGAGCACAACCUUCAUCUUCUGCAUUCACAUGGUUUGCAUCACAGGACUUUUAACUGGACACUGUCCUGGCAUUUCACAUUCCAGCCCAACAACAGUCUGCAGGUUCUGACCAACGUGCUCUAUAAAAAAAAGUAAUUUACUGGAAAAGGACAGUAAACAGCUCAUAAAAAGUGUCUCUCAGCAUCAGCUGCAGACAGGAAUUCCUCCCAGGAGCCCCUCUUGUUCCCUUUGUUGGAGCUGAUAGGGACGUGCUGCAUCAAAGGGAAUUCAUAGCUGUGACACAGCUUAAAAACAGAAGAAAAUAAUACUCUUGUGGAAAAAAAAAGGGUUCUCUAGUGGGCUGGGCACAGGCAGAAUUAGAAAACAGGCUGUGUUGUCCUCAAGCAAGGGCAUUCCAUGUCCUCCUGCUUCUGCAGCAGGCACUGACAGUCUUUUUAAGAGUGGCAGAUGAGAGCAGUGAGGCCCUCGAC
Molecule: long non-coding RNA, 1006 nt
Filed under: Cyanistes caeruleus (blue tit)
Lineage: Eukaryota; Metazoa; Chordata; Aves; Passeriformes; Paridae
Description: lncRNA (ENSCCEG00000012120.1)
Source: RNAcentral